RNAcentral lists this ribosomal RNA (1517 nucleotides) under Klebsiella pneumoniae. RNAcentral describes it as "bacterial SSU rRNA". It matches the Rfam family "Bacterial small subunit ribosomal RNA". The record is from RNAcentral. Lineage: Bacteria; Pseudomonadati; Pseudomonadota; Gammaproteobacteria; Enterobacterales; Enterobacteriaceae.
AGAGUUUGAUCAUGGCUCAGAUUGAACGCUGGCGGCAGGCCUAACACAUGCAAGUCGAGCGGUAGCACAGAGAGCUUGCUCUCGGGUGACGAGCGGCGGACGGGUGAGUAAUGUCUGGGAAACUGCCUGAUGGAGGGGGAUAACUACUGGAAACGGUAGCUAAUACCGCAUAACGUCGCAAGACCAAAGUGGGGGACCUUCGGGCCUCAUGCCAUCAGAUGUGCCCAGAUGGGAUUAGCUAGUAGGUGGGGUAACGGCUCACCUAGGCGACGAUCCCUAGCUGGUCUGAGAGGAUGACCAGCCACACUGGAACUGAGACACGGUCCAGACUCCUACGGGAGGCAGCAGUGGGGAAUAUUGCACAAUGGGCGCAAGCCUGAUGCAGCCAUGCCGCGUGUGUGAAGAAGGCCUUCGGGUUGUAAAGCACUUUCAGCGGGGAGGAAGGCGUUAAGGUUAAUAACCUUGGCGAUUGACGUUACCCGCAGAAGAAGCACCGGCUAACUCCGUGCCAGCAGCCGCGGUAAUACGGAGGGUGCAAGCGUUAAUCGGAAUUACUGGGCGUAAAGCGCACGCAGGCGGUCUGUCAAGUCGGAUGUGAAAUCCCCGGGCUCAACCUGGGAACUGCAUUCGAAACUGGCAGGCUAGAGUCUUGUAGAGGGGGGUAGAAUUCCAGGUGUAGCGGUGAAAUGCGUAGAGAUCUGGAGGAAUACCGGUGGCGAAGGCGGCCCCCUGGACAAAGACUGACGCUCAGGUGCGAAAGCGUGGGGAGCAAACAGGAUUAGAUACCCUGGUAGUCCACGCCGUAAACGAUGUCGAUUUGGAGGUUGUGCCCUUGAGGCGUGGCUUCCGGAGCUAACGCGUUAAAUCGACCGCCUGGGGAGUACGGCCGCAAGGUUAAAACUCAAAUGAAUUGACGGGGGCCCGCACAAGCGGUGGAGCAUGUGGUUUAAUUCGAUGCAACGCGAAGAACCUUACCUGGUCUUGACAUCCACAGAACUUNUUGGUGCCUUCGGGAACUGUGAGACAGGUGCUGCAUGGCUGUCGUCAGCUCGUGUUGUGAAAUGUUGGGUUAAGUCCCGCAACGAGCGCAACCCUUAUCCUUUGUUGCCAGCGGUUCGGCCGGGAACUCAAAGGAGACUGCCAGUGAUAAACUGGAGGAAGGUGGGGAUGACGUCAAGUCAUCAUGGCCCUUACGACCAGGGCUACACACGUGCUACAAUGGCAUAUACAAAGAGAAGCGACCUCGCGAGAGCAAGCGGACCUCAUAAAGUAUGUCGUAGUCCGGAUUGGAGUCUGCAACUCGACUCCAUGAAGUCGGAAUCGCUAGUAAUCGUAGAUCAGAAUGCUACGGUGAAUACGUUCCCGGGCCUUGUACACACCGCCCGUCACACCAUGGGAGUGGGUUGCAAAAGAAGUAGGUAGCUUAACCUUCGGGAGGGCGCUUACCACUUUGUGAUUCAUGACUGGGGUGAAGUCGUAACAAGGUAACCGUAGGGGAACCUGCGGUUGGAUCACCU